UCAGAUUGAACGCUGGCGGCAUGCCUUACACAUGCAAGUCGGACGGCAGCACGGGAGCAAUCUGGUGGCGAGUGGCGAACGGGUGAGUAAUACAUCGGAACGUGUCCUGGAGUGGGGGAUAGCCCGGCGAAAGCCGGAUUAAUACCGCAUACGCUCUGAGGAGGAAAGCGGGGGAUCUUUCGGGACCUCGCGCUCAAGGGGCGGCCGAUGGCAGAUUAGCUAGUUGGUGGGGUAAAGGCCUACCAAGGCGACGAUCUGUAGCUGGUCUGAGAGGACGACCAGCCACACUGGGACUGAGACACGGCCCAGACUCCUACGGGAGGCAGCAGUGGGGAAUUUUGGACAAUGGGCGCAAGCCUGAUCCAGCAAUGCCGCGUGUGUGAAGAAGGCCUUCGGGUUGUAAAGCACUUUUGUCCGGAAAGAAAACCUGUGGGCGAAUACCCUGGGGGGAUGACGGUACCGGAAGAAUAAGCACCGGCUAACUACGUGCCAGCAGCCGCGGUAAUACGUAGGGUGCAAGCGUUAAUCGGAAUUACUGGGCGUAAAGCGUGCGCAGGCGGUCCGUUAAGACAGAUGUGAAAUCCCCGGGCUUAACCUGGGAACUGCAUUUGUGACUGGCGGACUCGAGUAUGGCAGGGGGGGGUAGAAUUCCACGUGUAGCAGUGAAAUG
This 670-nucleotide ribosomal RNA is filed under the name uncultured bacterium. RNAcentral's name for it is "bacterial SSU rRNA". It matches the Rfam family "Bacterial small subunit ribosomal RNA", at positions 24 to 688 of the family's 1533-position model. The record is from RNAcentral.